GCUCCAAUAGCGUAUAUUUAAGUUGUUGCAGUUAAAAAGCUCGUAGUUGGAUUUCGGGCGGCGCCGCCGGUCCGGGCUUUGCUUGUGCACUGGUGCGCGCCGUCUUCUCGGCGAGGACGCGCUGUCGUGCUUCACUGCGCGGCACGCGGAGUCGUCACAGUUACUUUGAAAAAAUUAGAGUGUUCAAAGCGGGCUUACGC
This 200-nucleotide ribosomal RNA is filed under the name uncultured eukaryote. RNAcentral describes it as "partial 18S ribosomal RNA". It matches the Rfam family "Eukaryotic small subunit ribosomal RNA", at positions 588 to 794 of the family's 1831-position model. The record is from RNAcentral.